Molecule: long non-coding RNA, 4782 nt
Filed under: Homo sapiens (human)
Lineage: Eukaryota; Metazoa; Chordata; Mammalia; Primates; Hominidae
Description: non-protein coding lnc-C9orf116-5:1
Source: RNAcentral
AAAGGGAGCCCACUGAUUGCAUCAUACGCAGUGCACCUGCAGACUCCUGCAGACAGAUGCCGCAGGCUGAAAGGAAAGGUCCUGUUUAGAGAUACAGUAAGCAGUGGUUCAAAAAACAUGAAUGAGGCCAGACGCAGUUGCUCACGCCUGUCAUCCCAGCACUUUGAGGGGCUGAGGCAGGUGGAUCGCCUGAGGUCAGGAGCUUGAGACCAGCCUGGCCAACAUGGUGAAACCCCGUCUCUACUAAAAAAAAAAAAAAAAAAAAAAAAAAAAAUUAACUGGGCAUGGUGGCACACGCCUGUUGGCAGGCUGAGGCAGGAGAAUCACUUGAACCUGGGAGGUGGAGGUUGCACUGAGCAGAGAUCAUGCUAUUGCACUCCAGCCUGAGUGACAGAGUGAGACUCUGUCACAAACAAAAACAAGCAGGAACUGGGAUUUUGAUCAUGUUCUAAAAGAUCUGUUACAGGAGGCAGAGGUUGCAGUGAGCCAAGAUCGCGCCACUGCACUCCAGCCUAGGUGACAGAGGAAGACUCCCUCUCAAAAACAAAAACGAUAACAAAAAGAAACAACAACAACAACAAAAAAAUAAAAAUAAAAAUAAAAGACCUGUUACAGCGGAGGAGUGAAAUACACAUGGGCCAUGGCCAUCAAAACACACGCUGUGAUCCCACUGCUCAAUCUGUGCAUAAAGGGACCGGGUGCAGCGGCGGAAGCUCACAGAGAGGAGGUGUCCUCUUGCACAGAGUCCCUGAGCAAAAAAGGGCCUUCGAGUUUCCUUUCCAGAAGGGCUUCUGCUUCCUAACAGUCCCUCACUCCCCCGUCACAGCGAUUCCCUGUAAUCUGAAGCAAAGCGGGCAUGAGGCAGUGUGUGCAAUCAGUCUGUGUGUGGACUUUCCAAGCUCCCCGUCUGCUAACAUGGGCAAGGCUGUCUCCAGAUACUGAUGCUACUUCUGCCUCCGUGACUGCAAACACAGGGCGCUUGGAUUCUCUUCUGAGUCACAGUCAGCUUGUGGAAUUGCAGAACUGUCCCCACUUAUUUCAGCAACUCCAAGAGCUAACCUUGGCCCCAGUUUCUUUAAGGGAUUAACCUGUGCAGUAGCUUCAAAUGUAUUUAUUUGUACAUUGGGAGGGGGAUCUAUCCCUUCUUCAAUACCAAGCCAUCUUCUCCCUCUAAGCCUAUCUUCUUUGUCUUCUGUAGAAACCAAAGAUGGAUCAAAUGUGUCAGAAAUGUUGAAUGUGGGCUCACAGGAGCUGUAUGCUGUUUAGUCAGAUGCCAUUUUGGGGCUAAACCUGAGCUCACUGCAACCUCUGCUUCUGGGCUCAAGCUAUCCUCCUGCCUCAACCUCCCAAGUAGCUAGGACUACAGGUAUGCACCCACCAUGCCCGGCUAAUUUUUUUUUCCUUUUUUUGAGACAGAGUUUCACUCUUGUUGCCCAGGCUGGAGUGCAAUGAUGUGAUCUCGGCUCACUGCAACCUCCGCCUCCUGGGUUCAAGCGAUUCUUCUGCCUCAGCCUCCUGAGUAGCUGGGAUUAUAGGCAUGUGCCACCACACCCAGCUAAUUUUGUAUUUUUAGUAGAGACAGGGCUUCUCCAUGUUGGUCAGGCUGGUUUUGACCUCCCGACCUCAGGUAAUCCACCCGCCUCAGCCUCCCAAAGUGCUGGGUUUACAGGUGUGAGCCACCACACCUGGCCUAAUUUUUGUAUUUUUGCAGACGGCAUCUCACUAUGUUGCUCAGGCUGGUCAUGAACUCCUGAGCUCAAGUGAUCCCCCCACCUGGCCUUGCGAAGUGCUGGGAUUACAUGUGUGAGCCACCACGUCGGGAUUACAGGUGUGAGCCACCGCGCCGGGAUUAUGGGCAUGAGCCACUGCGCCGGCCUCUAGUAAACAUUUUAUCAGUAUCCAGUGAAUUCUGGGUCUUUGUGGAACAGGAAUGUUUGUUCCUCCCACCUGUGGACCAUGUGGAGAGUAGGAAUCUCUUCAUGAAGUCUUGUUCCUGGGGUAACACAAGAAUCAUUGUCCUCUUUCAGUGCUUGUUUCAAUAAUCUGAGAGAUUUUGGUGGCACCAUUUUGGUGUCUCCUUGAAGAACUCUUGGAAGGGCUUAAUCCCAGUUGUAAGGGAAAAUGUUUUUUCUCUUAAGGGACUGCUUUGUGGCUGAGCUGAGUCUCCCUGUGUGGAUGCUUUUCUCUUUGACAGACAAACCGCCCUUGGCUUUCAUGUCUAUAUUUUCCCUAUGGCUUCCUCCCUUGUGACUGAAGCGAUUCUGACACCUGUAUUUGAAGUCGUUCCAUACUUUCCCCACUCUUUCCAUUGGCUAUAAAAUCAUCUGGGGUGUGCAGAGCAGCCUUAUGCAGGGUACCUGCGGCCAGGCAGGACAGGCCCGGGCGGCACAGUUCCCCGACAGGUGGAGGAUGGCCCGGACGGCACAGUUCCCCGACAGGUGGAGGAUGCCUGCUCUCUGGUGUGUUCUGUCCCCUCCGACUGCACAGCCCACCCCCUGUCCCCCUGCCACGGCCAGCCCUUCCUCUUCACCUGUUUCCCCCGUCUCCCCCCACCCCAGCCAGCCCUUCCUCUUCACCUGUUUCCCCUCCCCCUCCCCCCACCCCUGCCAGCCCUUCCUCUUCACCUGUUUCCCCCCUCUCCCCUGAUCCCGGCCAGCCCUUCCUCUUCACCUGUUUCCCCCAUCUCCCCCCACCCCAGCCAGCCCUUCCUCUUCACCUGUUUCCCCCCUACUCCCCCCACCCCUGCCAGCCCUUCCUCUUCACCUGUUUCCCCUCCCCCUCCCCCCACCCCUGCCAGCCCUUCCUCUUCACCUGUUUUCCCCCUCUCCCCCCACCCCAGCCAGCCCUUCCUCUUCACCUGUUUCCCCUCCCCCUCCCCCCACCCCUGCCAGCCCUUCCUCUUCACCUGUUUCCCCCCUCUCCCCUGAUCCCGGCCAGCCCUUCCUCUUCACCUGUUUCCCCCAUCUCCCCCCACCCCAGCCAGCCCUUCCUCUUCACCUGUUUCCCCCCUACUCCCCCCACCCCUGCCAGCCCUUCCUCUUCACCUGUUUCCCCUCCCCCUCCCCCCACCCCUGCCAGCCCUUCCUCUUCACCUGUUUUCCCCCUCUCCCCCCACCCCUGCCAGCCCUUCCUCUUCACCUGUUUCCCCUCUCCUCCCCAGACCCCUGCCAGCCCUUCCUCUUCACCUGUUUCCCCUCCCUGCACCCCAGACAGCCCUUCCUCUUCACCUGUUUCCCCUCCCUGCACCCCAGACAGCCCUUCCUCUUCACCUGUUUCUCCCCCUCCCCCCACCCCAGCCAGCCCUUCCUCUUUACCUGUUUCCCCUCCCCUCCCCCCACCCCAGACAGCCCUUCCUAUUCACCUGUUUCCCCGCCUCCCCCGUCUGGAAUGGCUAAAUACACUCUUUGGUGAAGUGCUGGGUCAGGCCUCUUGUCUAUUUUUCCUAUUGUGUUAAUGAUCAUUUUUCUUGCUGCUUCAUAAAAUUUCUUUAAAUAAUAAAAUGGAAAUGACUGAAAAUGGCUAUUUUUGGUUACAUAUAUUACAAAUAUUUUAUUCCACUUUCUAACUUGCCUUUUCCUUUUCUUCCUGGAAUCUUUUGAUGAAUAGAAUCUCUUAUCUUCUUCCCAUUUUGAAAGCUGUGGUAAAAUAGGCUGGGCAUGGUGGCUCGUGCCUGUAAUCCCAGCACUUUGAGAGGCCGAGGUGGGCUAAUCAUUUGAGGUCAGGAGUUCGAGACCAGCCUGGCCAACAUGGCGAAACCCCAUCUCUACUAAAAAUACAAAAAUUAGCCCGGCGUGGUGACCCACGCCUGUAAUCCCAGCAACCCAGGAGGCUGAGGCAGGAUAAAUGCUUGAACCCAGGAGGUGGAGGUUGCAGUGAGCUGAGAUCGCGCCACUGCACUCCGGUCUGGAUGACAAAGCAAGACUCCUUCUCAAACAAACAAACAAAAAAUUGUGGUAAAACAGACAUAACAUAAAAUUUACCAUCUUAACCCUUUUUAAGUGUAAAGCUUAGUUGCAUUAAGUAAAUUUAUAAUACUGUGCGGCCAUUGCCACCAAGCAUCUUCAGAACUCUUUCCACCUUGUAAAGCUGAAGCUGUACACUCAUUCAACAACCUCCCACGAUCCCCUUCCAGCUCCUGCAACCACCUUUCCACUCUGUCACCAUGAAUUGGACUGCUCUAGGCCCCUCACGUAAGUAGAAUCCUAAAGCAUCUGCCUUUAUGUGACUGGUUUGUGUCGCUUAGCACAGUGUCCUUAAGAUCCGUCCGCCCUGUAGCAUGUGUCAGAAUUGCGUUCCUUUUUUUUUUUUUUUUUUGACGGAGUCUUGCUCUGUCGCCCAGGCUAGAGUGCAGUGGCGUGAUCUCGGCUCACUGCAAGCUCCACCUCCUGGGUUCACCCCAUUCUCCUGCCUCAGCCUCCGGAGUAGCUGGGACUACAGGCGCCCGCCACCACGCCCGGCGAAUUUGUUGUAUUUUUAGUAGAGAUGGGGUUUCACCGUGUUAGCCAGGAUGGUCUUGAUCUCCUGACCUCGUGAUCCACCCAUCUUGGCCUCCCAAAGUGCUGGGAUUACAGGCAUGAGCCACUGCACCCAGCUAGAAUUGUGUUCCUUUUUAAGGCUGAAUAAUAUUCCGUGGUUCGUAUAUACCACAUUUUGCUUGUCCGUUCACCUGUGGGUGGACACUUGGGUUGCUUCUGUUUCAGUGAUUGUGAAUAAUGCUGUUAGGAACACGGGUAUGAAAAUAUUUCUUAGAGACCCUGCUUUCAAUUCUUUUGCGUAUAUGCC